CCUCAGUUGUAAGUACAUACUGCCCUUCCCAUCCCCAGCAGAUUCAUCUUGAACAUCCAUGCCAACCAGAUUUUGAUUUCUCCCCAUUUUUUUACUAGACAUUGCACUGCCACCAGCGUCCACACCAUCCUUCUCUUUACAGAACCCAUACUAGAGUCACAAAUCCUCAUCCCUACACACAAAAAAUCCAAAUCUUUGUAAGUAGACAAAUUAAGUACCCAGCGGAAAAACUAAACUUGAAAGAUGAAAUCCAACAACACUUUAUGCAAGCGUUUUAAAAAAUAGGAACAUUUCUUGUAGGCAUGCGAGAAGUAGAGGCAGAACACAGAGGAAGAACCAGUAGGCAUGUGAGAAGAAGAGGGACCCCCAUGACGACCAGGCCAACUUC
RNAcentral lists this long non-coding RNA (388 nucleotides) under Setaria viridis. RNAcentral's name for it is "long non-coding RNA (SVIR_LNC010096)". The record is from RNAcentral. Lineage: Eukaryota; Viridiplantae; Streptophyta; Magnoliopsida; Poales; Poaceae.